AUUCUUUAAAUUCACAUUAAGAGAAGAAAAACAAAAUACGAAAGAUCAAAAGUUUUUUGCAUUGAUAGCUAUUAAAUUUUGCCGCAUUAUUCCAUUUUUUGCUGAUUGACUAAUUUUAUUUUUUUCAUAUUUUACUUUUCCUUUUUUGUUGUGAGUGUAACUGUACUCGACGUACUCGUGCAAGUUUUCUCAGCGCUUGUUUUUCCUGUUCGAAUUCACAUGUUGCAUGACAAUUCGGAUGUUUGCGGCUUGGUUCCUGUUAUAGUUUCAGAAUAGUGUCACAAGAAUUACAAAUAUUCAUGAAAGAAAAGAAGAUAAAGGGAACCUGUUUAGGUAGUUGUACUUCUCAUAAUUGUCAAAGGUCAAACUUGACAAAUAUAAAUUAUGCAUAAAUGUCAAAUGAACUAUAUUAUGCAUAACAUCGUAAUAUGAACACCUGUGCCUUGGGCUCUAUCCAAACUCAAAUUCUAACCAGUAAUUAUAGAUAAGAAUAUUAUUAAUUGCAAGAAAGAAACAUAAUGACAUCAAAAACAAUAUGUAUUGCUCAAGAAGGUCCAGCGAAUGCUUUAGCUCUUAAUAAAGAUAACAGUCAGGUUGUGAUAGCUGGCCGCAAUGUUUUCAAAAUAUUCACAUUGCUGGAAGAUAGAUUUGAAGAAGCUUGUAAUCUUCGUGUUGGCAAGAAUUUGAACCUGAAUUUUUCUUGCAAUGAUGUUGCCUGGAAUCUUAAUGAUGACCAUAUACUCGCGACUGCAGCAACGAAUGGUGCAGUGGUAUUAUGGAAUUUGAAUAGACAAUCUCGAUCAAAACAGGAUCAUGUAUUCGUGGAUCAUAAACGAACCGUGAAUAAAGUAAGCUUUCAUAUGACAGAACCCAUGUGGUUAAUAUCUGGUUCACAGGAUGGUACUAUGAAAUGUUUUGAUUUACGAAUAAAAGAAGCCAUCAAGACUUUUUAUAGUAAUACAGAAUCUGUUAGAGAUGUUCAAUUUUGUCCACAACAACCUCAUACUUUCGCUGCUGUGUCUGAAAAUGGCCAUGUACAGCAAUGGGAUAUGAGAAAAUCAGAUCGUUAUUUUCAACAUUUUACCGCACAUAGUGGCCCGAUAUUUGCUUGUGAUUGGCAUCCAGAAGCUACUUGGCUCGCUACGGCAUCUAGAGACAAAACUAUUAAAGUUUGGGAUUUAUCAUCUAAACCAAGUUGUGAUUAUACCAUACAUACUAUAGCAUCAGUGGGACGCAUAAAAUGGAGACCUCAGAAAAAAUAUCACAUAGCCAGCUGUGCUCUAGUUGUUGAUUGUAGCAUAAAUGUAUGGGAUAUUCGUAGGCCGUAUAUUCCAUUUGCGAGUUUCAAUGAGCAUAAAGAUGUUCCCACUGGUGUGGCAUGGAGAGGGAACCCACAAUCAUUUCUUUCAACAAGCAGAGAUUGUACUUUGUACCAUCACGUUUUUGACGAUGCAGUAAGACCAGCUAGUAAAGCAAAUCCGCAGAGUGUUGCGAUAAAUCUAAAACAUGACAUUACAUGCGCUUCUAAAGUGAAAUAUGAACCAGCAAGUAUUACGAGACAAUUAAGUAACAUAAUGAGGAGGACACCUGUAACAAAUGAUGAUGCUUUCUGUAUGGCUUCAAGUGUAAUGCACAGAUUUCGCGGAUGUAUACGUCAACCGAGAUGGUUUAAAAUAGCUGCAGAAAAUUAUUUACUUUCCGGAAAUUUUAGUGAAGCUUGCGAUCAUAAUGCGCGUAUUGCGUCUGAUUUUGGCAAUCAUGUUACUAGCAAAGCAUGGCAAAUCUUAAAAGUCAUGUAUACGGAUCCGUUUGAGAUACUUCAAAAAAGUGCACCCACGGCACCUAAAGAAGAGAUAGUCAAUACAUCAAAUAUAAUAAUACAAGGAGGAACAAAAAAUUCUGGAAUGGAACAAUCAAAUGCGAGUAAGCAAUCAAGUCACGAACAGGAUGCGAAAUCUCUUCAGGGAGAAAAUCCUACUGGCGCUGCCAGUGGCGGCGACGACGAGACUGAAACAGAAACCGAAGCGCCGGAGAAUCAAAAUAUUUCGGGACCAUCAACUAAUACGGCUACUGUUCUGCCGAGGAGACCAUUGCUUAGUGAUAUUCCUUCGACAUCACGAGGCGAUUUUAUUUUUGGAGAAACUGAGUAUGAACCUAUGUCUUUAGAACAUCCCAAUGAAAGUAGACAAACAGUAAUGCGAAUGGAGGAUGAUGAAUGGACCAAGGAAUUGCAAAAGGAGGCUUUUCCUUUGCGGCAUGAGAUUAAGGAUCGAUCGCCACCUCCAGAACAAUUUCCCAAUCAUCCUCCUGAUCUCGGCGAAAAUCCAGCUUCUGUUAUAGUUGAAGAUCAACCUCAGUUAGUAGUGCCGGUACUACCUAAGCCAUUGCCCUUUAAUUUUACAUCUCUAGUCUUGGAGGGGCUGCAUUUUCAUACAGUAAUGAGAGAUGUACAGACGACAGUGUCGAUGCUUAUAGUCCUGGGAGAAAUAAGGAAAACGUUGAAUAUACCAAUAGCUUUACAAGAACAUUGGAUCUUAGAAUAUUUAGAUAUGCUUGGUAAAUUUAAGCUUUGGCAUGUAGCUACACAGAUAAUACAAUUAGCAUGGAUUCCUUCUAUAUCACAAUUGAAUCAACAAUCAACUACAAUACAUGCAUGUUGCGUAGCAUGUACAAAAUCGUUGCAACGAUCUGCAUGGUUGUGCGAUCAUUGUCAUACUCCCGAACAUGCUUUAUGUUCUGUUUGUAAUCAGGUUGUACGUGGUAUUUACGUAUGGUGUCAAGGCUGUGCACAUGGAGGCCAUAUAAACCAUAUGAGAGAAUGGUUUAAUAAUAAUCGACAAUGUCCUACUGGUUGUGGACAUCUUUGCGAAUAUAAUUGACAAGAUACACUGACUUUGGCAAUGAAAUGGAUAUUUUUAAAUAAAAUGUAAUAUAAGAAUAUUAUAACACAAAUGCAAUGUAGAGCGAAUGAAACUGAGCAGAAAAGUCCUGUAUCAUUUUACGAUUUUCGCAGUGACUUAUUAAUUAUUAAAAAUCAUCGAGUGAGCGCGUAUCCGCCCGGCCCGCCGACAAAUUCCAAACAUAGCGAAAUGUUUG
This 3096-nucleotide unclassified non-coding RNA is filed under the name Pogonomyrmex barbatus (red harvester ant). RNAcentral describes it as "gATOR complex protein WDR24, transcript variant X1". The record is from RNAcentral. Lineage: Eukaryota; Metazoa; Arthropoda; Insecta; Hymenoptera; Formicidae.